RNAcentral lists this long non-coding RNA (1560 nucleotides) under Mus musculus (house mouse). Its description in RNAcentral is "Pvt1 oncogene". The stretch from base 37 to 193 matches the Rfam family "Pvt1 oncogene conserved region 1". Lineage: Eukaryota; Metazoa; Chordata; Mammalia; Rodentia; Muridae. The record is from RNAcentral.
AGCCCCGCGCUCUACCAGGCAGAGCGCGUGUGGCCGCCGAGCACAUGGACCCACUGGUCAAGCGGGCUCGGCAAGGCCAGGAUGAAGAGAAGCUACGAACUUAGCAUUCCCAGAGCCCCCCGAGUGGAUAUCCGCGUGGAAAGGAUGUUGGCAGCCCCGGUGACCUCGGAGUCACGGCUGGAUCCACCCUCUUGUCUGAUUUUCUUAACUCUACUACGGUAAGAAGAUGCCCUCCAUCAGCAGGCCGUGUCUGCUGGGACCUCUCUGGAGACUUCCUGAACCCUGUGGAUUUACAGUAAGAUGCAGUUUCCUGGGGAGUAAUUCUGGUGGAUACAAAUUCCGGAGUAUUACACCUGGCUUGCCUGGAGAUGUUACAAGUAGCUGGAUGGAUUCUUCAGCCUGGAUGCCCACUGAAAACAAGGACCGAAACUAAGAGGAUUGUAUCUCUACCCUUGACUCAAUGAGAAUGUUUGUUGUCAUCUCUCGGGCUACCUGGAGCUCCCUCUAAAAUAGAGCCGAGUUCUGUCACCACAGACAUUGGCAGUGGCACUUGCAUGCCCCUGGCAAGCAGUCUAUCCUGAGGUGGAGGAAGUUGCCCUUGAGUUCUGGCUGGUAACCAGCACAGGGGCUGGGACACUGCCUGAUUGAGGUGGCCAUUGAGAAUUCAAGUGUACCUCUUGGUCCCUGAUGCAGAAAUGAAGUCCCCAGCAUGCUCAAGAAGAGCUUCCUUGGAGGAUGAGAGGCAUGGGAAUCUAAGUAUACCCUUUAAGCGUUCCAGAAGGAUUUUGAGAUCCUUUCCUAAAUCAAAGGUGGAAUAUUUGGGGAUUUGGAAAAUUGAGCCAGUCUCUCAGAAGAACCAGUUGUGUUACUUUGCUGUGAGAUGCCUGCCCUAAGAGAGGAGCAGAAGGUCGGAACGGGUCCUCUAAUGUGAUAAUUAGAUGUGAAGCGUUGACUUAAGAGAUGCCAAGUAACUCAGCAGAUGUCACACAGACGAUAAAUAGCAAAGAUGGAAGUCUUCAUGCCGGAGGCAAUCCUAUAAGACAGCUGAGUUCUGCAGAGCUGGAGACAGACUUGCUCAGGUGAUAGAUCCAGCCAUGAUACUGACCCUAAGAGAAUGAGACGCUCUGCAGAAGACAGAAGAUUCCUGAAACUGGGAAAGGUGCCUAGAAAUCCUGAUAAGAGUGAAGAAGGGUACCUGGAGGCACAGCAGCCAUGUUGAACCUAUGAGGUGAUGAAAAACCAUGCAACUAGAAACCAGAAUGGAAGAAAAGAAGAAGCUGGAUCCUUGACUGAAUUGUCGAUGGGGGAUAGUCCAUCAUCCCAGGGCUAAGACCACCUCCAGAUUUCUUGUUUGGUGAAACAAGUCCUGAUUGUUUACAUUCCCUCGUGUUGAGCUGUCUCUUGCUUGUAGCUGAAAGCAUUUCUAAUAGAUAUUCAGAUUAUCAGCCUUAGCUCCAAGCUAGAAUACUCUAUGGGACCUUAGCUUCUCCAUGAAUUCCUUUGCUCAUCUGUGUAAUGCUCAAUAAAUGUAAAUUGAACCCUGAAUGAGGGACAAUGACA